RNAcentral lists this ribosomal RNA (494 nucleotides) under uncultured bacterium. RNAcentral's name for it is "partial 16S ribosomal RNA". It matches the Rfam family "Bacterial small subunit ribosomal RNA", at positions 29 to 523 of the family's 1533-position model. The record is from RNAcentral.
AUUGAACGCUGGCGGAAUGCUUUACACAUGCAAGUCGAACGGUAGAGGGGCAACCCUUGAGAGUGGCGAACGGGUGAGUAAUGUAUCGGAACAUGCCCAGUCGUGGGGGAUAACGUAGCGAAAGUUACGCUAAUACCGCAUACGACCUAUGGACGAAAGCGGGGGAACGCAAGACCUCGCGCGACUGGAGUGGCUGAUAUCAGACUAGGUGGGUGGUGGGGUAAAGGCCUACCAAGCCGAGGAUCUGUAGCUGGUCCGAGAGGACGACCAGCCACACUGGGACUGAGAGACGGCCCAGACUCCUACGGGAGGCAGCAGUGGGGAAUGUUGGGCAAUGGGCGCAAGCCUGAUCCGGCCAUUCCGCGUGCAGGAAGAAGGCCUUCGGGUUGUAAACUGCUUUUGUACGGAACGAAACGCGCUGAGCUAAUACCUCGGCGUAAUGACGGUACCGUAAGAAUAAGCACCGGCUAACUACGUGCCAGCCGCCGCCGUAA